CAGGGACCAGGCCUGGAGGGCCUACCCAGCCCUCCCCUGGGUAAAACCCAGGCCGAUGGGUUCGGAGGCCGAAACCCACGUAUUGGUAUGUGUAGUAGGUCAGGGAUUACGCCGGUACCUCGAUGAUAGCCGGUCCCCUGGGGCGUCCACGCCGUAGCCGGUCAACCGUAGGGUUGACUGGUUACGGAACCCGGCGAACCGGGUUAGGCCCGGGAGGGAGCGGCCCUAAGUCGGGGUGGGCGCGUUCAGGGGGUUGCCGGUUGGAGAAUGGGCCGGCGUAAUCCCUGACCUACUACACAUACCAAUACGUGGGGUUGGGUCCCGC
This 325-nucleotide signal recognition particle RNA is filed under the name Vulcanisaeta distributa DSM 14429. RNAcentral describes it as "Archaeal signal recognition particle RNA". It matches the Rfam family "Archaeal signal recognition particle RNA". Lineage: Archaea; Thermoproteati; Thermoproteota; Thermoprotei; Thermoproteales; Thermoproteaceae. The record is from Rfam by way of RNAcentral.